RNAcentral lists this microRNA precursor (111 nucleotides) under Olea europaea subsp. europaea. Lineage: Eukaryota; Viridiplantae; Streptophyta; Magnoliopsida; Lamiales; Oleaceae. The record is from RNAcentral.
GGAGCAGAUUGCAACCAAGAAUGACUUGCUGGCCGGCAUUGUCAAAAUUCAAAAGGAAUACUAAUCAGCUAGUCGAGCCAGCAAGUUGCCCUUAGCUACAUUUAGUUCCCU